UACAGGGGGUGCAACCGUUGUUCGGAUUUACUGGGCGUAAAGCGUGUGUAGGCGGCUUCGCAAGUUGGAUGUGAAAUCCCACGGCUCAACCGUGGACGUGCAUCCAAAACUGCGUCGCUAGAGUCUCGGAGAGGAAGGUGGAAUGCUUGGUGUAGAGGUGAAAUUCGUAGAUAUCAAGCAGAACACCUGCGGCGAAGGCGGCCUUCUGGACGAUGACUGACGCUGAGACACGAAAGCGUGGGGAGCAAACAGG
This 253-nucleotide ribosomal RNA is filed under the name uncultured bacterium. Its description in RNAcentral is "partial 16S ribosomal RNA". It matches the Rfam family "Bacterial small subunit ribosomal RNA", at positions 524 to 776 of the family's 1533-position model. The record is from RNAcentral.